CCUACGGGAGGCUGCAGUGGGGAAUAUUGCACAAUGGGGGGAACCCUGAUGCAGCGACGCCGCGUGAGUGAAGAAGUAUUUCGGUAUGUAAAGCUCUAUCAGCAGGGAAGAAAAUGACGGUACCUGACAAAGAAGCCCCGGCUAACUCCGUGCCAGCAGCCGCGGUCAUACGUAGGGGGCAAGCGUGAUCCGGAUUUACUGGGUGUAAAGGGAGCGUAGACGGCAGAGCAAGUCUGAAGUGAAAGCCCGCGGCCCAACAGGGGGACUGCUUUGGAAACUGGCCGGCGAGAGUGCUGGAGAGGGAAGGGGAAUUCCUGGUGUAGCGGUGAAAUGCGUAGAUAUUAGGAGGAACACCAGUGGCGAAGGCGGCUUACUGGACAGUAACUGACGUUGAGGCUCGAAAGCGUGGGGAGCAAACAGGAUUAGAUACCCGAGUAGUC
RNAcentral lists this ribosomal RNA (440 nucleotides) under uncultured bacterium. Its description in RNAcentral is "partial 16S ribosomal RNA". It matches the Rfam family "Bacterial small subunit ribosomal RNA", at positions 338 to 795 of the family's 1533-position model. The record is from RNAcentral.